AAGAGAGGCCUAUUUAAGGCCCCAACCUGUGAACUUAAGACUAAACAAGGGGCCAAAGUGUUAUUAUCAAGAGAUUAGGGGAUAUUUUGUAAACUUUGCCCACUUUUCCAUUCUCCCUCCAAAAAUUUACACUGCUCGGACUCUUCUCUCUCUCUCCAAGGGUUUCAAAACUGAAAUUCCACGGCCAAACAGAACGAAACGGAUAAUUCACAAUGGCGAAUCACCGGAGCCGAAGCAGCAGCCGCGGACGCCGCCGAAUACGGAGCCGCAGCCGAAGCCCGGCGACACGUAAGGAAGACAAGCGCGGCGAGCGACGCUCGCCUGCCCUCUCUUGCCUCUAUGUCACCAACAUUCCUUUCAGUACGAGUCGAGAAGAGAUUAGAGUUCAUUUUGAAAAAUUUGGCCCGUUAGAGGAUGUUAAUCUGCCCAACUUCUUCUACUCAGGGAAACCUCGUGGGUUUGGAUUUGUUAAGUUCCUGAAUCCUGAAGAUGCAGCUAAAGCACAAAAACAACUGGAUCAUACGGUCAUUUCUGGGCGUGUAGUAACUGUUACUCUUACUAGGAUAAACAAGAAAACUCCUGCAGAAAUGCGUAAACUUACAGGGCCAAGGUUGUACAUUUUAUUUAGUUUGUCUUUUCUUGGUAAUUACAUUGUUCCUAGGUAUAUUGACUUAGGUUAUCGUGCUCUUAUUUGCAGUUACCGGGGAAGCCGCUGGAAACGGAGUCCAUUGUCUUCCCCAAGACAAAGAUAUCGCUCUUAUUUGCGCUCCCGUUCUCCAGCAAGGCUUGACUUGAGAUUUUUUGCGUUACGUUUUCAUCAAUGCCUUUCCAGAAGUCUGUCGUGGAUAACUUAACUUCUGCAUUACUUGGUACUAUUUUUGAAAAAUAUUUACAUGGUCGACAGAACUUCUGUUUCUUUUCUUCUUAGUUUGCUAGUUUGAUUUACUGAUGUUGCUUGCCAUCCAGUUAAAGAAAGAUUCUAGAUCGUAUAUUUGGCGAAAGAAAGAAAGAAACCAUCUUCAAAGAAGCAAAAAGUUUCAAAGUCAUUACUGAUGGCUCUGAAGUUCAUUGAUGUAGAGCCCUUAAACAUUGUGUGCUUCACAGUAUCUUGUUUUUUUCAGAAAUUCUGAAAAAAAGAAAUUCAGGUACACAAGUCAUACUUCAGUCGAUUAGGUUUUUUGACGACGACUUGUCUUGUUUUAUUUUCAACCGGUGCAUUUGGAAUUUGAAUUUCUGUGCUCUUUUAUGUGAAUUGUGUGUCGACAGGCUAACCUUGUAAGAGAGAAUCAGAGAUCUUAGUAGCUGUUUUUUCGUAUUUUCUUCUGGUUUUGCUAAUUUUUACCUUGAAAAAUGCAAAAUAACUAAUUAUUUGCAUAUUGCACUUUCCUUUUCAUAGAAGACAUAGGUCUCGUGAAAGGUCUCGAAGACAUCGUAAGUCUUCUCCGCACGACGAGAAAAGUCAAAAGUCAAAUCGCGGGUCUCCAAGCUCUAAAGAAAAGGUUCGAACUGAUUAUGCACCAAGAAGGAGCCCAGCCAAAUCUCGUUCGAGAUACUACAGUCGUCGCUGAAAGUACGUUUGAUCGGUGCUGUGCAGUGUAUAUUCGACCAAGUUACUUUUAUCGCUUUUGUUUGCUUAGAAAAAAAAGAAAGAAAAUCAGAACCAAAGUUAUCAAUAGCAUGUGAAGAUUGAAGAUAUGUAAACAUAGAGAAGUUGGUGAUUGUAAUUUGUAAAUAAAUUUCAGAUAAUUGCUUUACUUUUAUAAGUUGUUGGUGUUUGCUAAUGUCAUGACAAUUCGAUUUUAAAUAGCUAAUGGUCCUUGCAAAUAAAAAAAUAUACUUGACAUAAACCUACCAAUAUUAUAUACAUCAU
Non-coding RNA from Erythranthe guttata (spotted monkey flower), 1870 nucleotides. The record is from RefSeq and is a predicted model, not a curated record. Lineage: Eukaryota; Viridiplantae; Streptophyta; Magnoliopsida; Lamiales; Phrymaceae.